GCCUUCGUGGUUUAAUGGUUAGCACUCUCGGCGCGUAUUCGAGAGAUCAGUGGUUCGAGUCCCGGCGAGGGCA
Molecule: transfer RNA, 73 nt
Filed under: Stegodyphus mimosarum
Lineage: Eukaryota; Metazoa; Arthropoda; Arachnida; Araneae; Eresidae
Rfam family: tRNA
About the family: Transfer RNA (tRNA) molecules are approximately 80 nucleotides in length. Their secondary structure includes four short double-helical elements and three loops (D, anti-codon, and T loops). Further hydrogen bonds mediate the characteristic L-shaped molecular structure. tRNAs have two regions of fundamental functional importance: the anti-codon, which is responsible for specific mRNA codon recognition, and the 3' end, to which the tRNAs corresponding amino acid is attached (by aminoacyl-tRNA synthetases). tRNAs cope with the degeneracy of the genetic code in two manners: having more than one tRNA (with a specific anti-codon) for a particular amino acid; and 'wobble' base-pairing, i.e. permitting non-standard base-pairing at the 3rd anti-codon position.
Source: Rfam by way of RNAcentral